GAUGAACGCUGGCGGCGUGCCUAAUACAUGCAAGUCGAGCGAACAGACGAGGAGCUUGCUCCUCUGACGUUAGCGGCGGACGGGUGAGUAACACGAGGAUAACCUACCUAUAAGACUGGGAUAACUUCGGGAAACCGGAGCUAAUACCGGAUAAUAUAUUGAACCGCAUGGUUCAAUAGUGAAAGACGGUUUUGCUGUCACUUAUAGAUGGAUCCGCGCCGCAUUAGCUAGUUGGUAAGGUAACGGCUUACCAAGGCAACGAUGCGUAGCCGACCUGAGAGGGUGAUCGGCCACACUGGAACUGAGACACGGUCCAGACUCCUACGGGAGGCAGCAGUAGGGAAUCUUCCGCAAUGGGCGAAAGCCUGACGGAGCAACGCCGCGUGAGUGAUGAAGGUCUUCGGAUCGUAAAACUCUGUUAUUAGGGAAGAACAAAUGUGUAAGUAACUAUGCACGUCUUGACGGUACCUAAUCAGAAAGCCACGGCUAACUACGU
Molecule: ribosomal RNA, 496 nt
Filed under: uncultured bacterium
Lineage: Bacteria
Description: partial 16S ribosomal RNA
Rfam family: Bacterial small subunit ribosomal RNA
Source: RNAcentral